Cebus imitator (Panamanian white-faced capuchin) is the source of this 143-nucleotide small nuclear RNA. Its record names the gene U4. It matches the Rfam family "U4 spliceosomal RNA". Rfam says of the family: U4 small nuclear RNA (U4 snRNA) is a component of the major U2-dependent spliceosome. NCBI's taxonomy places the organism in Eukaryota, Metazoa, Chordata, Mammalia, Primates, Cebidae. The record is from Ensembl.
AGCUUUGCACAGUGGCAGUAUUGUAGCCCAUGAGGUUUAUCUGAGGCCCGAUUAUGGCUAGUUGAAAACUUUUCCCAGUACCCUGCCAUGAUGAUUUAAAAUAUAGUCAGCAGGAGCAAUUUUUGCAGUCUGUUUUGAAACUG